RNAcentral lists this ribosomal RNA (464 nucleotides) under uncultured bacterium. Its description in RNAcentral is "bacterial SSU rRNA". It matches the Rfam family "Bacterial small subunit ribosomal RNA", at positions 917 to 1382 of the family's 1533-position model. The record is from RNAcentral.
GGACCCGCACAAGCAGUGGAGUAUGUGGUUUAAUUCGACGCAACGCGAAGAACCUUACCAAGGCUUGACAUAGUACUGAAUAUGGUGGAAACAUCAUAGUCCUUCGGGACAGUAUUACAGGUGGUGCAUGGUUGUCGUCAGCUCGUGUCGUGAGAUGUUGGGUUAAGUCCCGCAACGAGCGCAACCCUUGUCGUUAGUUGCCAUCAGGUAAAGCUGGGCACUCUAAUGAGACUACCGGUGAUAAAUCGGAGGAAGGUGGGGACGACGUCAAAUCAUCAUGCCCCUUAUGUCUUGGGCUACACACGUACUACAAUGGCUAUUACAACAGGCAGCUAAGGAGUAAUCUGGAGCAAAUCCCAAAAGAUAGUCCCAGUUCGGAUUGUGGGCUGCAACUCGCCCACAUGAAGUCGGAAUUGCUAGUAAUUGCAGGUCAGCAUACUGCAGUGAAUACGUUCCCGGGUCUU